GCACUGACCAUGUUAAUGGGGCUAAUUAAAAAGCCCACAAUUAGGAUGUAUUGUGGGCUUUUUAAUUAGCCCCAUUAACAUGGUCAGUGC
Molecule: non-coding RNA, 90 nt
Organism: Pelobates cultripes (western spadefoot toad)
Lineage: Eukaryota; Metazoa; Chordata; Amphibia; Anura; Pelobatidae
Source: the annotation of a GenBank genome assembly